CCUAACACAUGCAAGUCGAACGAAGUAGCAAUACUUAGUGGCAGACGGGUGAGUAACAUGUAGGUAUCUGCCCUUUGGCCUGGAAUAACACGAGGAAACUUGUGCUAAUACCGGAUAAGUCUUUACGGAGAAAGCUUUAUGCACCAUUGGAUGAGCCUGCACUUGAUUAGUUUGUUGGUGGGGUAAUGGCCUACCAAGACUGUGAUCAAUAGCUGAUUUGAGAGGAUGAUCAGCCACAUUGGGACUGAGACACGGCCCAAACUCCUACGGGAGGCAGCAGUGGGGAAUCUUGCACAAUGGAGGAAACUCUGAUGCAGCGAUGCCGCGUGAGUGAAGAAGGCCCUUGGGUUGUAAAGCUCUUUCGUCGGGGAAGAAAAUGACUGUACCCGAAUAAGAAGGUCCGGCUAACUUCGUGCCAGCAGCCGCGGUAAUACGAAGGGACCUAGCGUAGUUCGGAAUUACUGGGCUUAAAGAGUUCGUAGGUGGUUGAAAAAGUUAGUGGUGAAAUCCCAGAGCUUAACUCUGGAACUGCCAUUAAAACUUUUCAGCUAGAGUAUGAUAGAGGAAAGCAGAAUUUCUAGUGUAGAGGUGAAAUUCGUAGAUAUUAGAAAGAAUACCAAUUGCGAAGGCAGCUUUCUGGAUCAUUACUGACACUGAGGAACGAAAGCAUGGGUAGCGAAGAGGAUUAGAUACCCUCGUAGUCCAUGCCGUAAACGAUGUGUGUUAGACGUUGGAAAUUCAUUUUUCAGUGUCGCAGGGAAACCGAUAAACACACCGCCUGGGGAGUACGACCGCAAGGUUAAAACUCAAAUGAAUUGACGGGGACCCGCACAAGUAGUGGAGCAUGUGGUUUAAUUCGAAGAUACGCGCAGAACCUUACCAACACUUGACAUGUUCGUCGCGACUUUAAGAGAUUAAAGUUUUCGGUUCGGCCGGACGAAACACAGGUGCUGCAUGGCUGUCGUCAGCUCGUGUCGUGAGAUGUUGGGUUAAGUCCCGCAACGAGCGCAACCCUCACUUUUAGUUGCCAUCAUUAAGUUGGGCACUCUGAAAGAACUGCCAGUGAUAAGCUGGAGGAAGGUGGGGAUGACGUCAAGUCCUCAUGGCCCUUACGUGUUGGGCUACACACGUGCUACAAUGGUAUCUACAACAGGAAGCAAGACUGCGAAGUUAAGCAAAUCCCUAAAAGAUACCUCAGUUCGGAUUGCACUCUGCAACUCGAGUGCAUGAAGCUGGAAUUACUAGUAAUCGUGGAUCAGCGUGCCACGGUGAAUGCGUUCCCGGGUCUUGUACACACCGCCCGUCACACCAUGGGAGUUGGUUCUACCUUAAGGCAAGGUUUUAAACCCUUGACCACGG
RNAcentral lists this ribosomal RNA (1359 nucleotides) under uncultured Candidatus Pelagibacter sp. RNAcentral describes it as "bacterial SSU rRNA". It matches the Rfam family "Bacterial small subunit ribosomal RNA". Lineage: Bacteria; Pseudomonadati; Pseudomonadota; Alphaproteobacteria; Candidatus Pelagibacterales; Candidatus Pelagibacteraceae. The record is from RNAcentral.